AAUUCUAGGUUUUUUUUGGAUAACAGGUAGUUUAGAGUUUCGGGAUUUGUUUAAAAUAGCUAAUAACUGGAUUCCUAAUAAUGAGAUUAACUCCUUGCUUACUAUUUUGUGUGCUUUUUUUAUUAUUCCUUGGUGCAGUUGCGAAAUCGGCACAAUUCCCUCUUCACGUAUGGUUACCCGAUGCUAUGGAAGGACCCACCCCCAUUUCAGCUCUUAUACACGCAGCAACUAUGGUUGCUGCGGGGAUUUUUCUUAUAGCUCGACUUCUUCCUCUUUUCAUAUCCCUACCUUUGAUAAUGAGUUUCAUUUCUUUAAUAAGAUACAGAUUAAUGCUAUGGAAGGACCCACCCCCAUUUCAGCUCUUAUACACGCAGCAACUAUGGUUGCUGCGGGGAUUUUUCUUAUAGCUCGACUUAUUCCUCUUUUCAUAUCCCUACCUUUGAUAAUGAGUUUCAUUUCUUUAAUAA
This 467-nucleotide long non-coding RNA is filed under the name Oryza sativa (Asian cultivated rice). RNAcentral describes it as "long non-coding RNA (OSAT_LNC000606)". The record is from RNAcentral. Lineage: Eukaryota; Viridiplantae; Streptophyta; Magnoliopsida; Poales; Poaceae.